AGCACAGAAGACGAAGAGCUGGAAUAGAGCUCGCCUCGGCUCUGCUGGCCUUGGCUGCAGCUCUUCCAGAAACCCGGGGCGCCCACAGAAGAAUCUCUUACCUGGCUCUCUCUUCAGGGAUGACAUCAUCGGCUCACACCAGUCUUCCAGGACCACCUUCUGGAUGCCAAGGCUGCUGCUCGAGUACCUGCUGUGCACCUCUACCUCCUGAGCCAAGGAGCACGGAUUCCAGGAACCCACUACCAUACAGAGCAACUCCUUGUGGACCCCCCUGGGAUCAGGACAGCGAGGGACAAGCGACAAAGAGGAUCAUCAGUGGCCAGCUAGUUUCUCUGGGGUUCAAACCUUGAACCAGUGCCCUAGUGAGGGGGCACUGGCCAUGGCCCUUGACCUUUGCUCUGCUUGUGUCUUGAGUCUGAGCCCUUUCCUGUACAUCUGUGCUCGUGUUCAUCUGCUAGUGAACUGGAGUGCUGCCCUCCCCGAGGAGGGUCGUCCCUUGUGACUGAUCAUGCUGUCCUAACAAUGUCCUGAGCAAAAGGGUCCCUUUGGGAACCUCUCAGGAGGGGGACCCGGGUCAGGGGCGACCAGCAUCUUGCUGGCAACUCCGUGGGUGGGGUGGGGUGGGGUGCUUCCUUCUGGAAUGAGCACGUGGCUGACCCCCCAAGGCAUGUCCCCUCCCCCUCCUCCACCCACCUUCUCGGAGAUGUCCCUUUUGGGGUAGUGGGGACAUUAGGAGCAACCUCCUAGGGUUGUUGUGAGAAUUAAAUGAACUGCAGCAGCCUGAGGCAGGGCUGGGCAGAGACCUCAGCACAUGUUUGUUGAAAGGUUUGCAGGUGGAUCUAGUCCUCCCGUUCAUGGCUCAUGUGUCUCAACCAUUCUCUCGCAGACUCCUGCAGCCCCUAUGCCCAGGGCUCUCCUUGCGCCAGCCCCGGCUUCUCGAGGCCUGUCUACACUCGCUGCUUUCCUUCCUCACCUCCAAUUUCCCCUCCAACCCACUGCUUCCUGACUCGCUCUUCUCCAUCGAACGGCUCUCGCUCAGGCCUGUCGCGUCUUCCUGUGCCAUUUGCUGUUGUGCUCAGGUUCCACGAGCUGCCCAUCUCCACAGAAGAGCAGCUGGCAUUGCCCACCGGCCAUGCCGGCUGAAGAAAAGAAGACUGAGGACCCCAGGAUGCCCAGCGCGAGGACCCCAGGAAGCCCAGCGCGAGGACUCCACCCACGACGCCCAGCGCGAGGACUUCACGCACAACACGUUGCAACCCUCCUGGAUUAGGCCAAAGCCAUCAUCUGGAAUCCUGCGUGGGACCCUGGACACACGGACACAGACACCUGCCCCCAGGACCCUCCAACUGUAAAUCGAUUGGAAGCGCCCUUGUGAGCUGGGGCCUUCAAAGGGCUGAGGAGAAAAUGCAGGCCGAGAGACCAGCUUCUCAAAUAGGCUUCAAGCCUCCAUGACCUGAGCUCACCCCCUGGAAAUGUCUGGAAAACAUAAUGGGCAGGUUUUCUGUCUUCAAAGUUUCCAUCAAAACCUCUUCAAGUUCUUUAUUGUUUAGGACUGAGACACUUGGGGACAGUAAUGGGGACUUUCUUUUGUAUCUGUCUUGAAAGGCCAAAAUAUUUUUAUAUUGCUGUAGACAAAGCCACCUAUUUACAAAUGGACUCUUGUUCCGUCGUUUCCCACCAGGAAGACCGUACUAUGUUUGUGUCUCUAUGUAUUCUGGGGUCUUGAAACAGGUUUCUCAUGGGGAUGGCCAUUCACUAGAGCCCAGAGGGGCAGAAGGGGAAGUGUCUACCCUGCCAAGGGGGUCUGGGGAAGGAGGGGGGCUAGUCUCAGAUUUGCUCCUUGUAUGUCUAGGGUAAACCCUGGGAGAAUCUGGUGGUAAAAGAACAUAUGCUGUGUUUGCCCCACAUCUGCCAUUUGUGUGUGUUUCUGGGCUACGGGUUUGCACACUUUGGUGGUUAACAUGGUGGGAGGAAGUAAGAAGGGCCAAGAGGGCACGGGUGCUCUGGUUUUCCUGCUGGGAGGCUGUUUCACUGGUGUGUGUUACAUCACAUAAUGCAUGUUUAGCUGGGUGAGUGACAACAGUAUGAAGGGACAGAGAAACAAAUAGGUGUAGAAAGAGAGUCACAGAGCACACAGUCACCAUUCUGUGCCCAGGCGUUCAUUAAAUGUUCAAUAGAAUGCUGAGCUCUGAUAGACAGAGCGGGCCAUGGACACACUGGUAUUGGGUCAUCAUGGACCUAAGGAGUUUUUUUAAUUGAAGAAGGAAUCUUACAUAACAGAAGAAAGAAUAAGAAGAGCUGUCAAAACGAGCUCUGAGGUUUUUGAAGCCCCUUAAUAUAAACAGACAGACAAUGGCGUGAUCAGGAAAGGGAGAAAACAAACAAACAAACAAACAAGAUGCUUACAGAAAUACGAGAGGACGUGUGAGCAUGCAAAGAGAACCCAGCUAGGUUAGUAUCGGGGUGCUGGUGGAUCGUUAAUCCUGUCUGGGUACCCCAGCUCCAAGGGGAUGAGAGGCAGCAAGUGAGAGGACACAUAGGAAACUGUAACAAGACAGAGGCGAGCAGAUGGGGAGCUUCAGCGGAGUGUUAAGCUAGGCUUCGCAAUCUGACCACUUAACUCUCCCAGCAAAGAAAAGAAAGGCUUAAAUACUAAAAAGAAGGAAAGCUGGAAGAAAGGAUGGUAGAUGUGAAAGGCAUAGAGGAUAGAAAGCAAUAGGGAGUGGAGUGCAGGUGCUGUGGAGAGACGCUUGCAGGUGACUCAAUUCACCAGCCUGUGCAGCUGAGAAAGACAGCCAGUGACAAAGGAGAAGAAGAAAGGUAACAAUACACUCACAAAUAGGUAGAUGAAUGUAGCUGGAAGACGGGGCCUGGCUAGGGACGGGAUGAGAGGCUGUGUCAGCAGACUGGUUAAUUCCCAUCUGUGCUUCUGAGAUGGACAAUGACCCACCCGACCAAGAGACCUUUCAGGCAUCAAUAUGUCAGGGAGGGCUUCAAUGGGGCAAUGGAGGCGAGGCCCAUUAAUAGCAGAUUAUGAUGUAUCCAAUUAGGUGCACCUGCCCUCUGGAAGUGCAGAAACCAGUAUUGAAAUGGAAAGAAAGACUGAAUGGAAGUCCGAGAGUACAAAUGAAUGGAUGGGAAAAAAGAUUUGCAUUCGCUCUUAGGGGGAGGGUGCUGCUGAGCCCCAGGGUCAUCUGAUCUCCCGGAGAAUAAAAGGGCGAGGGAGUGAUAGAGAGUAACAAUAAGAUGGAGAA
This 3254-nucleotide long non-coding RNA is filed under the name Mus musculus (house mouse). RNAcentral describes it as "maternally expressed 3". The stretch from base 523 to 624 matches the Rfam family "Maternally expressed 3 conserved region 2". The record is from RNAcentral. Lineage: Eukaryota; Metazoa; Chordata; Mammalia; Rodentia; Muridae.